AGGUGCAUUGAGAGGAUGUAGAAAUUCUGGAUUCAUGUCAGGCCCGUCUGCGUUUCUGCCCUCCUCCACCCAGCAUUGAGGGGAGGGCAGGGUAGAACUAAAGCGAAUGUUCUUUUCAAUCCCUGAAUAGGGGCUUGCGUACCUCAGAGGAAGACAGAACACGCACAUUUCUCUGCGUUUCUCUUUGUCUCAUCUUUAGUCUCUAGGCCAUUAGCCCCUGUUGCCAUGGGAACUGAAGCUGAGUGUCUGAUGCAUUCAUUGGGCUGUGGGAGAAAAGCAGAGUUGGUCCUUGAAAUAAAGGCCCCUGGGAGAGGGGAUUCUAGCAAGGCAGUCACAUUGAAAGAAUUCACAAUUCCCACAGAUAUAUUGAUCCUUGUGAUUAUUAGUACACACACACACACACACACACACGCACACAUCCCACACACCCCCACCCCAUACACACACACACACACACACACACACACACACACACAGGCUUCAUCCUGAACAGAUACGAUGUACAGAGCAUCGCACUGGCUGGCCCAUAGGGUUCUUGUGGGAGAGGCCAGGCCUCUGUGACCAUGAAAGGGGUUGCAACUGAUACAGUCAGGGAGGGAUCCCAGGAAGGGGAGUGAUUCCCUUAAAUUUGCUUGUUGAAACCCGUAUCUGGCAGGGGAAAGGAGGAUCCGGUGCAGAGCUUGGAUUCAGCAGAGGUGGCUGUUGAUGUGACCAGUCCCCCUGUUUGGGUGGGAAGGCCCUGAAUGACACAUGCAGCAAGGCAAGAGUGGUCCCGUGCACCCUUUGCUCUUUCUUGGCUUAUCCAGCUCCUCCCUCUGAGAUAGUCCCAUGGGGAGCCCCAGGUUGACCUGGGAUGGGGAUCCCCUCUUUCCAGGGGCAGGGUAGAGUUCUCAAAGCUGGCAGUUUUCUCCUCCUUUCCCUUUCUCCCUCGCUGCCCCUUCUUCUUGCCCCCUGCUCAUCAAUCACCCUUUGGUAAAGGACCUCUCCCCUUGUUCCUUUCUCUUUACUCCCUCAUCCAUUUCCUCUACACUCCUUUCCUCUUUCCUCUCUCUUCCUACCUCACUUCAGCCUCUGUCAUCACCUCUCAUCUCCCCUCUCUGCUCUCUCUCCUCCAUGCCUUGUCUUUCCCUUUGUCCUCCCUCCGAGUUCCCAUAUCCCUCACUGCCCUUUCUCUCCCUCUUUCCUUUCUCAUGUUGUCCUCCCCUGGUUUUCCCCUCAUUUUGCUUUUUCCUUCUCUCUAUGCCGUUCCCUCCCCUCACCCUCCCCGCCCUCCCCUCCCCUGAUACUCACCCAGUGACUAAUCCGCAGUUCCUUAAGUGGUACUGGGCGUAACGUGGGCUCUAUGUGUUUAGCUUUCAGCCUCGGAGGGCAGUACAUCCUAAAGUGAAUCACCAACUUAAUUAUUCCUCUGCAAAUUACCAUCAGUGAUACGAGAUUCAACGACAAGGAGCUGUGAGAGCGCACAGGAAGGGAGCUCAUUUCUGGGGUGGGCUCAGUGAAGAAAAUGUCAUUGAUGAUAGUCCUUGUUCUGCCAUCCACCAUCCUCUGCUUGCCUCUUUCUGUCACUGCCUUCCCUUUUAUGUUGGGGGCAACUCUCCUCUUCUAUCUUUUGCAGCAGGGUGGGACUCCUCUCAUGGUGUCCUGCCCUCCACACCCCAAGGUGUGAGUUCUCAUGAAGUCCAACCGGAUGCCCAUUUCCUGCAACCUGAGCACCCAACAGACCAAAGAGCAUGAGGGGUAGUUUCAACUCGCCCGGGGACCCUUGUUCCUGCUCCCAGCUUCCCCAGGGCACCUUUGGUCAUGUACUUCACUCACCCCUUCUCUUUCUCACGUUCACUUCUCACCUCUCUUCCCCCUCCCUCUUUCCUGGCUGCAUCCUUUUCUCCUAAGGCUUUACCCCAUAAAGACAAAGAAACUGGCUGAGGAGACAAGAGAAAGAAAGUAGCAGAAGAUGGGAAGGAAACAGACGGAGUCUCACUUGUGUUGCCAAGAGAGCUUGAGCAUCAACUGGCAGUGAGGAUGGCAGGAAAGCAACUGACUUAUCCCCUCUCACCAGACCUUCCAACUGUCUGCAACACUGGCAUUGCCACGUAUCCCGGCACGUUGUUGAUCCCAUUGUGGCAUUGUGGUCAGAGAAUAUACAAAUCGCUGAAGAAUCCAUUGUUUAUGGACAUUCCUGGGAUAGUAUUCAUUUAAAUAUCUCUAUGUACACUGUAAUGGAAUAUAAUACAAAAAUGGAGUUGCACGCAAAAUGAGGGUACCACUCAGUAAAUGGUUCCACAGGGACGUCUGAUCCCCUACGAUCUGGGUUAAGAAAUGGUGUAGUGUAUUGCCGGCAGCUCAAAAGCACUCUCAUGCCAGUCACUCUUGUCUUCCACCUCAGCAAAUCUAACCACUCUUGUGACUUUUAACACUUGACGAUAAUCCUGCCUGUUUGUGAACGCAUUACACAUGAGUAGACUCAGUACAGUACGUAUUUUAUAAUCCGGGUUUCUCUUGGCAACAUUAGGUUUUUCUCCUUGCUAUUCACUUUUGUCGUGCUGUGUAGCUGAAUUUCGUUUCUUUGCAUUCCUGCGCAGUGUUUUGAAUUGUAUGACGAUGCCACAAUUUAUUCAUGCCUUUUAUUUCUAAUGGGCUCUUCAGUAGUUUCCAGCGCUGGAGUGUUAGUGUUAUUAUUGUGGUGCACGUUCACAAGGAUGUCCUUUGGUUAACAUGCGUAUGCAUUUAAGGCUGUGCUUGCAGGACUGCUUUGAUUACUUUUUCUUCCUUCAUGGCACUGUAAGUGGUGACAGUGGAUGUAUCUGGUUUUUUUUUCCCCCUGAUCUCAGAGGGAAAGCUGUCAACAUGUCACCCGUAAGUAUCGUUGUUUUUGUAGGCUUUUAAAAUAUAUUCCAACGGAAUCAAGAGACUUCCCUUUUGUUCGUAGUUGGCUAAGAGGUUUUAUCAUAAGUGCAUGGUCAUUUAAAAAAAAUCAAACCCAUGAAAUACCCUUCCUGCGUCUGUAGGGAAUAUCAUAUUUUUUCUCCUUCAUACAUUACUUCUGAGAGAUAGAUUUUUCAAGCGCUGAACCGCUUCAUUUCUAGAAUACUCUUGACUUGUUUGUGAUACGUUUUCCUUUUUGGAGAUUUAACUGAUUUGUUUUGCUAAUGCUUUAUUCAAGAUUUCUUCUUCUGUGCUUAUGUAAAAGAUAGGCCUGUGCAUUUCAUUUCUUACCAUGCCCUUUAAGGUUUUUCCCUCAUAAAACGGGAUGGGAAGCAUUUCCCGUUUUUUAUGUUACUUGGCAAGAAGGUAAGAUUGAUAUUCCUUCCUUCACAAACGUUUUGUAGAAUUAAUCGGUGGCAGCAUCAGAGUCCGUAGGUUCUUGUGGCUGUUGCUGUUGUUUCCUUCAGAUUCCGCCCGUUUAGAAUUUGUAGGACAAUUCAGAUGUUUAGUCUGUUUUCUGUCAUUUUGUUGUAUUUUCUUGAAAUGUGUAAAUUAUAUCCAAAGUUUCACGUUUGUGGGCAUAAAGUUGCUCAUGGUUUUGAAUAAUGAUCUCUUUAAUGCCUUCAUUGCCCAUAGUGAUGUCUCCUUAGCCACUCCAGACACGGGUUGCUUCAUGAUUUCUCUCCUUUUUGUUCAGGCCUACACAAGGCAUGUCUUAAUCACAUCAUCUUUUCAAAAAACCACCUCUGGCUGUGUUGUUUUAUCUUUAACUGAUUUGUACUUUUAUCGUUAUUUCAUUUCUUCUGCUUUCUUCAGGUUUAAUCUGUUGUUCAACAUGGUUAAGAAAGAUGCAAAUGUUGUGCCUUUCUUUUUCAUGCAAUCUAGACAAUUAAAAUAUAUCCCAUAAGAUUUCAUCAGGUUCAAAAUACUUUGCGAUUUCAUUGGUGAUGUUUUCCUUGAGCUAUGGGUUAUUUAGAAAAUAGGAAAUAAAAAGGAUGCCUUUUCUAAAAAUAAAAUGAAGUGAAAUAAAAAGGAUGCCCUUUUAUUUCAUUUUCUUGCUUAAUUGCCCUCUGAACUUCCGGGACUAUGUUGAGAAGAAGUAGCAAAAGCGGGCAUCUCUGUCUUGCUCCUGAUCUUAGAGGAAAAGCUUUCACUCUUUCGCCAUCGUGUACAGUGUUCACAAUGAGUAUUUUAUAUAGGACUUUUGUGACGUUGAGGUUGUUUCCUUCUGUUUCAAGGAGUUUGAGUGUUUUUAUCACGAAGGGGGUUGACUUUUGUCAGAUGCUUUUAGUGCAUCAAUUGAGCCGAUCAUGUGGUUUUGUCCUUCAUUUUGUUGAUGCCGUACACUAAAUUAGUUGAUUUUCAUUGAUCGAAACUUCCUUGCAUUCCACGAAUAAAUCCCACGUGGUCAUGGGCCUUUCAUGUGUUGUUGAACUCGGUGUGCUAGACUUUUGUUGAAUAUGUAUGCACAAACAUUCUUUUGGGAAGUGUGUGUGUGUGUGUGUGUGUGUGUGCGCGCGCGUUUCUGGUCCUAGUUCUUCUCUAACUGUUUAGUAGAAUUCUCCACUGAAGCCAUCUAGUCCUGCGGUUUUCUCUGUUGGGAGGUUGAUGAAUACUGGUUAAGUCUCCUUAUGAGUUGUCGAGAUCUGCUGAGAUUUUUUAUUUCUUCAGGAGUCAGUCUUGGCAGCGUGUACGUUUCUCAGAAUUUAUCCAUUUCUUCUAAAGUAUCAAAUUUGUUGGGGUAUAGUUGUUCCUGGUCUUCUCCUUAUAAUCUUUUUUAUUUCUGUAGUAACAAUUGUAAUGCCCCUCUGUCAUUCUGAUUUUAGUUAUUUGACCCUUCUCUGUUUUUUUCUUAAUCUGCUUAACCUAUGUUGACCUUUUCAGAGACACCAGCUCUUAGUUUCAUUGUUUUUUUUUUCCUAUUAUUUGUCUAUUCUCCAUUUCCUUUAUUUGUGCUCUAAUCUUUAUUACUUCCUUCCUUCUGCUAACUUCGGGUUUACGUUGUUCUUCCUUUGCUAGUUCUCGAAACACAAAGAUAGGCUGUUGAUUUGAGAUCUUUCUUCUUUUUCACUGUAAGGAUUUACCACAAUAAACUUCCCUCUUAACACUGCUUU
Long non-coding RNA from Homo sapiens (human), 5036 nucleotides. RefSeq lists it as uncharacterized. The record is from RefSeq and is a predicted model, not a curated record. The transcript is spliced from 3 exons. NCBI's taxonomy places the organism in Eukaryota, Metazoa, Chordata, Mammalia, Primates, Hominidae.